Molecule: long non-coding RNA, 220 nt
Filed under: Elaeis guineensis (African oil palm)
Lineage: Eukaryota; Viridiplantae; Streptophyta; Magnoliopsida; Arecales; Arecaceae
Description: long non-coding RNA (EGUI_LNC032829)
Source: RNAcentral
CCGUAUACUUAUCCUUUCUUUCUUACAAUCCAUCCUAGUUUUAGGACAAGGCUUUGGUAUUUAAGACAAAGCCUAAUUUGGUCCAGACAAGGAUGGAGAAGGUUCUAAAGAAAGAAAUUCAGAAGUCCAAAGAUGGUGGAGAGAGGGUUGAGUUAGACUCUUAGAGAAAUUUGAUCGGCACAAGGUUAAUCGAGUUCUAAAGGCUAGAACUCUUGAAGCA